Molecule: ribosomal RNA, 1638 nt
Filed under: Quinisulcius curvus
Lineage: Eukaryota; Metazoa; Nematoda; Chromadorea; Rhabditida; Telotylenchidae
Description: SSU rRNA
Rfam family: Eukaryotic small subunit ribosomal RNA
Source: RNAcentral
GCGAACGGCUCAUUAUAACAGCUAUAAUUUACUUGAUCUUGACAAUUUACUUGGAUAACUGUGGUAAUUCUAGAGCUAAUACAUGCACCAAAGCUCCAACCGUAAGGAAAGAGCGCAUUUAUUAGAACAAAACCAAGCGGCUUCGGCCGUCCAGUGCUGACUCAGAAUAACUAAGCUGAUCGCAUGGUCUUGUACCGGCGACGUGUCUUUCAAGUAUCUGCCUUAUCAACUUUCGAUGGUAGUGUAUCUGACUACCAUGGUAGUGACGGGUAACGGAGGAUAAGGGUUCGACUCCGGAGAAGGGGCCUGAGAAAUGGCCACUACGUCUAAGGAUGGCAGCAGGCGCGCAAAUUACCCACUCUCAGAACGAGGAGGUAGUGACGAGAAAUAACAAGACCGUUCUCAUAAGAGGCCGGUCAUUGGAAUGGGUACAAUCUAAACCCUUUAACGAGUAUCUAUGAGAGGGCAAGUCUGGUGCCAGCAGCCGCGGUAAUUCCAGCUCUCAAAAUGCAUAGAAUUAUUGCUGCGGUUAAAAAGCUCGUAGUUGGAUCUGUGCUUGCCCCCCGGUCUACCUUCGGGUACGCACUGGUGGGGUAGGCUUUCCUGUACUUUUAAGGUAGUUGCCCUUAACUGGGUGCUACUCUUAGGUACAAGUUUACUUUGAACAAAUCAGAGUGCUUCAAACAGGCGUUUCGCUUGAAUGUUCGUGCAUGGAAUAAUAGAAGAGGAUUUCGGUUCUAUUUUAUUGGUUUUAUAGACUGAGAUAAUGGUUAACAGAGACAAACGGGGGCAUUCGUAUCGCUGCGUGAGAGGUGAAAUUCUUGGACCGUAGCGAGACGAACUACAGCGAAAGCAUUUGCCAAGAAUGUCUUCAUUAAUCAAGAACGAAAGUCAGAGGUUCGAAGGCGAUCAGAUACCGCCCUAGUUCUGACCGUAAACGAUGCCAACUAGCGAUCCGCCGGUGGAAUCUUUGCCCUGGUGGGGAGCUUCCCGGAAACGAAAGUCUUCCGGUUCCGGGGGAAGUAUGGUUGCAAAGCUGAAACUUAAAGGAAUUGACGGAAGGGCACCACCAGGAGUGGAGCCUGCGGCUUAAUUUGACUCAACACGGGGAAACUCACCCGGCCCGGACACCGUAAGGAUUGACAGAUUGAUAGCUUUUUCAUGAUUCGGUGGAUGGUGGUGCAUGGCCGUUCUUAGUUCGUGGAGCGAUUUGUCUGGUUUAUUCCGAUAACGAGCGAGACUCUAGCCUACUAACUAGUUUGCACAUUGCCUCUGUGUGCGAUACUUCUUAGAGGGAUUUUCGGUGUACAGCCGCACGAAAUUGAGCAAUAACAGGUCUGUGAUGCCCUUAGAUGUCCGGGGCUGCACGCGCGCUACACUGGCAAAAUCAGCGUGCUUGUCCUUCCCCGAAAGGGGUUGGUAAACCCUUGAAAAUUUGCCGUGAUUGGGAUUGGAAAUUGCAAUUAUUUUCCGUGAACGAGGAAUUCCAAGUAAGUGCGAGUCAUCAACUCGCGUUGAUUACGUCCCUGCCCUUUGUACACACCGCCCGUCGCUGCCCGGGACUGUGGCAUUUAGAGAAACUCGAGGACCGUUGAUUGGGCGUUUCGGCGCCCUUUUGGUGGGAAUUGAUUUAAUCUC